UUUUCUAGAGGAGCACGUGGAGAGGGCUCAACCGAGUUUUUACCUCUCCCAAACACAAUGUAAAUUUUCACAAACUGUUCCCUGGGGGGUCUCUCUCCCCCGUGUGUGGCACACCCCGGCCCCAGCGCCCCCCCGAGAGCCCCCCCCAACUCUUUUUUUAUAUCCCCCCUCGCGGGUUUUUUAUAAUCUGAGCCUUCUCGGCGCCUCUCGUAGGCGUUUCGAAAAUGAAUCAAAACUUUCAACAACGGAUCUCUUGGUUCUGGCAUCGAUGAAGAACGCAGCGAAAUGCGAUAAGUAAUGUGAAUUGCAGAAUUCAGUGAAUCAUCGAAUCUUUGAACGCACAUUGCGCCCGCCAGUAUUCUGGCGGGCAUGCCUGUCCGAGCGUCAUUUCAACCCUCGAACCCCUCCGGGGGGUCGGCGUUGGGGAUCGGCCCCGCCUUGGCGGUGGCCGUCUCCGAAAUACAGUGGCGGUCUCGCCGCAGCCUCUCCUGCGCAGUAGUUUGCACACUCGCAUCGGGAGCGCGGCGCGUCCACAGCCGUUAAACACCCAACUUCUGAAAUGUUGACCUCGGAUCAGGUAGGAAUACCCGCUGAACUUAAGCAUAUCAAUAAGCGGAGGAA
This 621-nucleotide ribosomal RNA is filed under the name Trichoderma harzianum. RNAcentral's name for it is "eukaryotic LSU rRNA". The stretch from base 234 to 387 matches the Rfam family "5.8S ribosomal RNA". Lineage: Eukaryota; Fungi; Ascomycota; Sordariomycetes; Hypocreales; Hypocreaceae. The record is from RNAcentral.